UAUGAGUUUGAUUUCCUGUCUGGGACCUCACUCAAGCAUAAACAAAUGUUAACAAUCCACAGAACAAACAUAUCAAACAAAGUGACAGUGAUAUUUUCUUUGGAAUGCAAAGCCUUAAGUGGUAUCUUUCCUGUAUAAUGUAACUGCGGCUUGCUAUGGCUAUCUAGAGAUGUCUUUGGAUAAAGUUUUGGAAGACGAGGUUGUUGAAGAUACAGGGGAAUCACAAGUCUUUAACUUGCUUAAUCCAGCAUUUGUAGACUUUGAUACUUGUUUAGAUCCUAUCACAAACGAAAUUCCAACUUUCGGUGACUGAAAAAAAGAUGCAAGUACAAAACUUUAUCAUAUAAUAAUAAGAGCUAGCAACAUGUAUACUAUUUGAGUUUUUUUAGAGUUUUUAAGCCAAUCAGAAGGCUCUAUUUCGUACCGAAUCGCAGAAAGAGCGCGUUGAGCGAGUGAAAGCGAUUCUGUGGGUAAACCCUUUUCCAAUUCAUGCUUUUUUUUAUCGACGCACAUCUCUCCAAAUUCUCCAUCGCGUGACUCUUUUAGUUUUUUUCCACAAAACCAAUGAAACCGAACCGAAAUCAGUUUUAAUUUCAAAACCAAUGCAAACCAAACCGAAUCAGCAAAUAGUGUGAAGCAACAAUUCUGGACAUAAAUUUUCACAACAUUUCAACAACGGGAAAAAGAGAAAACACCACAACUCAAAAUCACAAAGAACAAUCUACUGCUUCAGUUAAACAUGAAAAACGAUUAGACUUACCAGUUGAAAUCUGAAAGCAUGAAUCUCGUUGUGAGCUCUUCGUGUUUGCCUCGUCCUUUUAUUAUCUUUCUUAUUUUCUCUUCUUUGU
RNAcentral lists this small RNA (848 nucleotides) under Arabidopsis thaliana (thale cress). RNAcentral's name for it is "ATSL127060". The record is from RNAcentral. Lineage: Eukaryota; Viridiplantae; Streptophyta; Magnoliopsida; Brassicales; Brassicaceae.